AUUGAACGCUGGCGGCAGGCCUAACACAUGCAAGUCGAGCGGAUGAAGGGAGCUUGCUCCUGGAUUCAGCGGCGGACGGGUGAGUAAUGCCUAGGAAUCUGCCUGGUCGUGGGGGAUAACGUCCGUAAACGGGCGCUAAUCCCGCAUACGUCCUGAGGGAGAAAGGGGGGGAUCUUCGGACCUCACGCUAUCAGCUGAGCCUAGGUCGGAUUAGCUAGUUGGUGGGGUAAAGGCCUACCAAGGCGACGAUCCGUAACUGGUCUGAGAGGAUGAUCAGUCACACUGGAACUGAGACACGGUCCAGACUCCUACGGGAGGCAGCAGUGGGGAAUAUUGGACAAUGGGCGAAAGCCUGAUCCAGCCAUGCCGCGUGUGUGAAGAAGGUCUUCGGAUUGUAAAGCACUUUAAGUUGGGAGGAAGGGCAGUAAGUUAAUACCUGGCUGUUUUGACGUUACCAACAGAAUAAGCACCGGCUAACUUCGUG
RNAcentral lists this ribosomal RNA (484 nucleotides) under uncultured bacterium. RNAcentral describes it as "partial 16S ribosomal RNA". It matches the Rfam family "Bacterial small subunit ribosomal RNA", at positions 30 to 507 of the family's 1533-position model. The record is from RNAcentral.